RNAcentral lists this transfer RNA (72 nucleotides) under Mycobacterium phage Rey. It matches the Rfam family "tRNA". Rfam says of the family: Transfer RNA (tRNA) molecules are approximately 80 nucleotides in length. Their secondary structure includes four short double-helical elements and three loops (D, anti-codon, and T loops). The record is from Rfam by way of RNAcentral. Lineage: Duplodnaviria; Heunggongvirae; Uroviricota; Caudoviricetes; Vilmaviridae.
AUGGGCGUGGCUUGAUAGGAAAGCAGCGGUCUCCAAAGCCGCCACACGCAGGUUCGAAUCCUGCCGCCCGUG